This 394-nucleotide ribosomal RNA is filed under the name uncultured bacterium. RNAcentral's name for it is "bacterial SSU rRNA". It matches the Rfam family "Bacterial small subunit ribosomal RNA", at positions 505 to 898 of the family's 1533-position model. The record is from RNAcentral.
GUGUCAGCAGCCGCGGUAAUACGAAGGGUGCGAGCGUUAAUCGGAAUUACUGGGCGUAAAGCGCGCGUAGGUGGUUUGUUAAGUUGGAAGUGAAAGCCCCGGGCUCAACCUGGGAAUUGCUUUCAAAACUAGCAGGCUAGAGUACAGUAGAGGGUAGUGGAAUUUCCUGUGUAGCGGUGAAAUGCGUAGAUAUAGGAAGGAACAUCAGUGGCGAAGGCGACUUUCUGGCUUAUUACUGACGCUGAGGCGCGAAAGCGUGGGGAGCAAACAGGAUUAGAUACCCUGGUAGUCCACGCCGUAAACGAUGUCAACUAGUUGUUGGGGGCCUUGUGCCUUUAGUAACGCAGCUAACGCAUUAAGUUGACCGCCUGGGGAGUACGGCCGCAAGGUUAAA